CCUACGGGAGACAGCAGUGGGGAAUAUUGCACAAUGGGGGAAACCCUGAUGCAGCGACGCCGCGUGAGUGAAGAAGUAUUUCGGUACGUAAAGCUCUAUCAGCAGGGAAGAAAAUGACGGUACCUGACUAAGAAGCCCCGGCUAACUACGUGCCAGCAGCCGCGGUAAUACGUAGGGGGCAAGCGUUAUCCGGAUUUACUGGGUGUAAAGGGAGCGUAGACGGCAGCGCAAGUCUGGAGUGAAAUCCCAUGGCUUAACCAUGGAACUGCUUUGGAAACUGUGCAGCUAGAGUGCAGGAGAGGUAAGCGGAAUUCCGAGUGUAGCGGUGAAAUGCGUAGAUAUUAGGAGGAACACCAGUGGCGAAGGCGGCUUACUGGACUGUAACUGACGUUGAGGCGCGAAAGCGUGGGGAGCAAACAGGAUUAGAUACCCGAGUAGUC
This 440-nucleotide ribosomal RNA is filed under the name uncultured bacterium. Its description in RNAcentral is "partial 16S ribosomal RNA". It matches the Rfam family "Bacterial small subunit ribosomal RNA", at positions 338 to 795 of the family's 1533-position model. The record is from RNAcentral.